CAGUAGCCGCGGUAAAACGUAGGUGGCAAGCGUUGUCCGGAAUUAUUGGGCGUAAAGGGCUCGCAGGCGGUUUCUUAAGUCUGAUGUGAAAGCCCCCGGCUCAACAGGGGAGGGUCAUUGGAAACUGGGAAACUUGAGUGCAGAAGAGGAGAGUGGAAUUCCACGUGUAGCGGUGAAAUGCGUAGAGAUGUGGAGGAACACCAGUGGCGAAGGCGACUCUCUGGUCUGUAACUGACGCUGAGGAGCGAAAGCGUGGGGAGCGAACAGGAUUAGAUACCCCUGUAGUCCCUGUCUCUUAUAC
This 301-nucleotide ribosomal RNA is filed under the name uncultured bacterium. RNAcentral's name for it is "partial 16S ribosomal RNA". It matches the Rfam family "Bacterial small subunit ribosomal RNA", at positions 509 to 807 of the family's 1533-position model. The record is from RNAcentral.